This 505-nucleotide ribosomal RNA is filed under the name uncultured Desulfobulbus sp. Its description in RNAcentral is "bacterial SSU rRNA". It matches the Rfam family "Bacterial small subunit ribosomal RNA", at positions 881 to 1382 of the family's 1533-position model. Lineage: Bacteria; Pseudomonadati; Thermodesulfobacteriota; Desulfobulbia; Desulfobulbales; Desulfobulbaceae. The record is from RNAcentral.
UGCCAGCCCGCUCAGAAACUCAAAUGAAUUGACGGGGCCCGCACAAGCGGUGGAGUAUGUGGUUUAAUUCGAUGCAACGCGAAGAACCUUACCUGGUCUUGACAUCCCGGAGACCCUUAGGAAACUAGGGGGUGCUUCCAUCUGGAAGAAUCUGGAGACAGGUGCUGCAUGGCUGUCGUCAGCUCGUGUCGUGAGAUGUUGGGUUAAGUCCCGCAACGAGCGCAACCCUUGCCUUUAGUUGCCAGCAGUUCGGCUGGGCACUCUAAAGGGACUGCCGGUGUUAAACCGGAGGAAGGUGGGGAUGACGUCAAGUCCUCAUGGCCUUUAUGACCAGGGCUACACACGUACUACAAUGGCCGAUACAAAGGGCAGCGACACUGCGAGGUGAAGCCAAUCCCGUAAAAUCGGUCUCAGUCCGGAUUGGAGUCUGCAACUCGACUCCAUGAAGUUGGAAUCGCUAGUAAUCGUGGAUCAGCAUGCCACGGUGAAUACGUUCCCGGGCCUU